GAUGAACGCUGGCGGCGUGCUUAACACAUGCAAGUCGAACGGAAAGGCCUCAGCUUGCUGGGGUACUCGAGUGGCGAACGGGUGAGUAACACGUGGGUGAUCUGCCCUGCACUUUGGGAUAAGCUUGGGAAACUGGGUCUAAUACCGAAUAUGACCACUUCUUGGAUGUUGUGGUGGAAAGCUUUUGCGGUGUGGGAUGAGCCUGCGGCCAAUCAGCCUGUUGGUGGGGUAAUGGCCUACCAAGGCGGCGACGGGUAUCCGGCCUGAGAGGGUGUACGGACACAUUGGGACUGAGAUACGGCCCAGACUCCUACGGGAGGCAGCAGUGGGGAAUAUUGCACAAUGGGCGCAAGCCUGAUGCAGCGACGCCGCGUGGGGGAUGAAGGCCUUCGGGUUGUAAAGCCCUUUCGGCGGGGAAGAUAAUGACGGUACCCGCAGAAGAAGCCCCGGCUAACUUCGUGCCAGCAGCCGCAGUAA
RNAcentral lists this ribosomal RNA (477 nucleotides) under uncultured bacterium. RNAcentral's name for it is "partial 16S ribosomal RNA". It matches the Rfam family "Bacterial small subunit ribosomal RNA", at positions 28 to 523 of the family's 1533-position model. The record is from RNAcentral.